This is a non-coding RNA of Chlorocebus sabaeus (green monkey), 3156 nucleotides long. NCBI's taxonomy places the organism in Eukaryota, Metazoa, Chordata, Mammalia, Primates, Cercopithecidae. The record is from RefSeq and is a predicted model, not a curated record.
AGACAGGAGUCUUGCUGAUGCCCCCGGCCAAAUAAACCCCUUCCUUCUUUACCUCAGUGUCUGAGGAGUUUUGUCUGCAGCUCGUUCUGCUACAGUAUGAGAUGAGGCUGGAUGAGAACUGAUACUUGUAAAUAUACUUUUUAGACUAAAUCUCUGAUUGUCACUUGUUUUCUUAUUUAACUCAUAAAAAUAAAACACAUUGGGUGGAGGGUGGGAGUAGGAAGGAGAUUUAUGUCUUCUAAUUGCAUGUCAUUGUUUCAUAUCAAGACAGAUCAUAUAGUAUCCCUGGCUUUGGACCUACAGAAGGAAACACAUUUUGCUAUCUGCUGUAUGCCAGAGGUCCUAAACACCUGGAGGGAUUACUGCAGCACAGAUUGCUGAGCACUACUCCGGAGUUUCUGAUUCAUCAGGUCCAGGGUGGGGCCUGAGAAUUUGCACUUAUGAAAAGUUCUCAGGUGCUGCUGGUGCUGCUAAUCCAGAGACUACACCUUUGAGUGCCACUCUUGUCUACUAACUGUAAAUUGUAGAACUCCAGAAAAAAGCUUAGUUUGGUCUGGGAUAAGAAGCACACACGUUAUGGAGCAAAUGAUGAAAGAUUCAACCCUUGAUCCCAGCCUACUCUGGAAUUCAGGUCCCUCUGGACAUGCUGCUGCCUGGCCACGCCUUCUUUUGCUUUCAUCUUUCUCAUUGACCAAUGGGCUUGGAUCAUUAAGGCCACACCCCUAUUCUGCAUUCUAGUGGGGCCUGGUUACGCCUCCUCUGGCUCAGUCACACAGCUCCCUGGUAGGUGACUGGAGGCAUUUGGCAGUCAUUGCUGGGAUUUUGCUGAUGUGGCACCAACCCUGCCUCCCUUCCCACCUCAUGAUGGCUGAAGAAACUUGACAGAGCAAAUUGGCUGCAGCCAAGAAAAAGUUAAGAGUAUCAGCAGAGGAAUAGCCCUGGUGUUCCAGCAGGAGCGAAGAGAAAAAAGAAAAAAAACAACACUAACCCUGAGACAACCACUUCUGGUGGUUUCCACUCACCUGGAGAUAAUAACCCUAAUUGGUGGGUAAGGAUGUUUAUUAUUAUAAACAAGACCUCAAAAGGGAAGACACUUGGGCAAGGUUGCACAGUUGGUCCUCGACUCAUGGUACAAGACUGUGUCCACUGUCUGAGAGCCCUGAGUCCUGAGAAGAAGACGGAAACAAGUUCUGAUGGCUGGGAAGUCCAAGAUCACGGUGCCAGCAAGUUUGUAGUCUAGUGAGGGCUGCUCUCUGCUUCCGAGAUGGCACCUUGAAUGCUGAGUCCUCCAGAGGUGAGAAACGCUCUGUCCUAACAUGGUGGAAAGGACAGAAAAACAAAAGAAGAAAACCAAGCCAGGAUUCCCAGCUCCGCCUCAAACUUGCACCUCGAAUCCAUCCAGGUACUCAGCAGAAAAAGGGUCCUCCUAUGGUAUAGCUUGGCCCCUGAGACCCCAGCAAUGGCUACUGGUGUUGAGGAGGCAUUGUGCUGGCUUCCGUGACCCAGCCUGUCUGCCGGAAGGGUGAGGCUAGAUGCAGCUCUGCCAAGAGGCCUGAAGGACAAGACAGCAGCUUCCAUCAAGGACCAGGGACUAAUUCAAUCUCUUCUUGACAGAUGCUUUGUGACGCUGAUAGGCCUGGCCUCUCUCAUUUCUCCCCCCCACACUGCCCUCUCUUUCACCUCCUUCGCCUGUCUUAAAGACUCUUGAAGAUGUCACAUCAGGCAAAUGCUGAGUUGUCAGAGAAGGAGGUGGAGCCCUAACGGAACAUUAAGACGAGUCAACAAAAACUGACAAAAGGGAUGGAGAUCUGAGGCCUGUUUUGUAAGGAGAUGCAUUCUGUCUCCAGUAAAGGCAAGAAGACUAGAAGGAAAGAGGGAGGGGAGAAGCGAAGAGAAAUCCUUCUAAUGUACCAGAUGUGUCCUGACAUGUCAUAUGUCUAGCUCUCCACAAAGCUCCAAGACAAAUUGCAUAUGCCUGAUGAACAGGAAGUGGGCAUGGCUGUGAGUUUUGAAACUAGGGAAAGCUGCCAGCCUGCAUCACAGUUAAACUAAAAUGGUCCCUAAACGACUUUUGGUUGAACAUGUUGGUUAACUUAAUUUCACGCUCAUAUGCUACAGUUUUAUAACACAGACUUCCAAAUGAUUACUUUAUUGGCCCCAGGAAGCAUGAUGCACAUAAGCUUUUAAUUUGCUCAAUAUCGUUGCAGUUUGUCUUAAAUAGAUAAAUCAAUGGUAUCCACUGAUGACCUUAGAUUUCACCAUCACCCAAGUUUCAAGUUUGAAAUUCUAAAAAUACUGCCAAGCUGAAGACAUUGGAAGGUCAUAUGUUGGAACAGGAAAUUUACAAUAAAAGAAAUGCAAUUGCCAGCAAACAUAGAAAAAUAUGUUCACAAAAAUUGAUGGUUAAGUAAAUAUAAGUUGAAAGGACAACAAAAUAUCAUUUUCAUUCAAAAAAAGUCUGAUAAUCCUUACUUUGGAAAAGAAGUGAGGAAAUAGGGACCCCGUUACACUGUCGCUGUGAUUCUAAGUUAGUACAACCAUUUUCAAACUACCUUGGCUCAAUCUAUUCAAACUGGAAAUGUAGGUGCAUUUUGAUUCAGAUUUUGUAGUGCCAUGAAUUUUCCUGCUGCUGUACUUGUAUAUGUUUGAAUUCUAUGGAGUGGUCAAAAUACAUGAGCGGGAUCUACAUAGAGCAACAUGAAAUGGCUUCAGAAAUAUAGUGUGCAUGAAAAAAAGUCUUUUAAAAAAUGAAUUUAUAGCAUAAUUAAAUUAAUAUAAAUAAAAAUUACUCUAAACAACAUUAUAUGCUUGGAGACAUACAUAUAUGGAAAUGAAAAAAGGAUGGAUAGAAAGUGAUUAUAUUAUAUACAAGACAGUGGAUGUCUGUGGUGAGAAUGAUAGUCAUAAGAAGGCGGGAUAAGUAAAAAACAAUAAUAUAAUUUUUAAAAAAAUUAAGGAGAGGUGCUGUAAGGAUAAUAACUAUAUGGCCUUAAUAACUAAAGAGCAUGAUUGAUUCAUUCCAAUACAACUGAGGUCUGCAAAAAGAAAAUUAAAAGCAAUAACCAAAAAAAGUCCCUAAUUAUUCUUGCCUAAGGAAAUUAAAGUGUAAGCUCAAAAAUGUUAACUGAGGCAAUUUGUUGUAAUAGGAAUAAAUUG